AUGAGCAAUGGGUUUGCGACGUACACAGUCCACAUUGCACACAUCACAUCACAUUAUUCAUGGGCUCAUGGCAACAUGAUGAGGGUGCUCGCUCUGGCCGCCGCCAGCGGCGUGCCGUCGAUCAUCUCUCGGGGCACGUUCGGUCGCAUGCUGGGCAACCGCAGCCAGAGCGGCUGCGAGGGCGGCGCCUUCUACACAUACGACGCGUUCGUGGAGGCCGCAAACGCGAGCAAGCUCCGCGGCUUCUGCACCAUCGGUGACGAGGACACCCGCAGGCGCGAGAUUGGUGAUGAUAUCGUACUCAUAGUUUUACAAAUAACAUCGACUACAACUACCGGCAAGCCGGAGACGCGAUGGGGCUGGAUCUGCUGGAUAAUCCGGAUCUGGUGUCCGCCGACAUCCUGUCGUCGCGUUCAAGAUCUGUGUCAAUGCCGAGGGGCCAAAUUUCGUGUUUUGAUCUUUUUCAAAAAGUUAAACCGGAUCUGA
Molecule: ribosomal RNA, 486 nt
Filed under: Triticum aestivum (bread wheat)
Lineage: Eukaryota; Viridiplantae; Streptophyta; Magnoliopsida; Poales; Poaceae
Description: partial small subunit ribosomal RNA
Source: RNAcentral